GACGAACGCUGGCGGCGUGCUUAACACAUGCAAGUCGAACGGAAAGGCCCUGCUUUUGUGGGGUGCUCGAGUGGCGAACGGGUGAGUAACACGUGAGUAACCUGCCCUUGACUUUGGGAUAACUUCAGGAAACUGGGGCUAAUACCGGAUAGGAGCUCCUGCUGCAUGGUGGGGGUUGGAAAGUUUCGGCGGUUGGGGAUGGACUCGCGGCUUAUCAGCUUGUUGGUGGGGUAGUGGCUUACCAAGGCUUUGACGGGUAGCCGGCCUGAGAGGGUGACCGACCACAUUGGGACUGAGAUACGGCCCAGACUCCUACGGGAGGCAGCAGUGGGGAAUAUUGCACAAUGGGCGGAAGCCUGAUGCAGCAACGCCGCGUGCGGGAUGACGGCCUUCGGGUUGUAAACCGCUUUCGCCUGUGACGAAGCGUGAGUGACGGUAAUGGGUAAAGAAGCACCGGCUAACUACGUGCCAGCAGCCGCGGUGAUACGUAGGGUGCGAGCGUUGUCCGGAUUUAUUGGGCGUAAAGGGCUCGUAGGUGGUUGAUCGCGUCGGAAGUGUAAUCUUGGGGCUUAACCCUGAGCGUGCUUUCGAUACGGGUUGACUUGAGGAAGGUAGGGGAGAAUGGAAUUCCUGGUGGAGCGGUGGAAUGCGCAGAUAUCAGGAGGAACACCAGUGGCGAAGGCGGUUCUCUGGGCCUUUCCUGACGCUGAGGAGCGAAAGCGUGGGGAGCGAACAGGCUUAGAUACCCUGGUAGUCCACGCUGUAAACGGUGGGUACUAGGUGUGGGGUCCAUUCCACGGGUUCCGUGCCGUAGCUAACGCUUUAAGUACCCCGCCUGGGGAGUACGGCCGCAAGGCUAAAACUCAAAGGAAUUGACGGGGCCCCGCACAAGCGGCGGAGCAUGCGGAUUAAUUCGAUGCAACGCGUAGAACCUUACCUGGGUUUGACAUGGAUCGGGAGUGCUCAGAGAUGGGUGUGCCUCUUUUGGGGUCGGUUCACAGGUGGUGCAUGGCUGUCGUCAGCUCGUGUCGUGAGAUGUUGGGUUAAGUCCCGCUACGAGCGCAACCCUUGUUCACUGUUGCCAGCACGUUAUGGUGGGGACUCAGUGGAGACCGCCGGGGUCAACUCGGAGGAAGGUGGGGAUGACGUCAAGUCAUCAUGCCCCUUAUGUCCAGGGCUUCACGCAUGCUACAAUGGCUGGUACAGAGAGUGGCGAGCCUGUGAGGGUGAGCGAAUCUCGGAAAGCCGGUCUCAGUUCGGAUUGGGGUCUGCAACUCGACCUCAUGAAGUCGGAGUCGCUAGUAAUCGCAGAUCAGCAACGCUGCGGUGAAUACGUUCCCGGGGCUUGUACACACCGCCCGUCAAGUCACGAAAGUUGGUAACACCCGAAGCCGGUGGCCUAACCGUUGUGGGGGAGCCGUCGAAGGUGGGACUGGUGAUUAGGACUAAGUCGUAACAAGGUAGCCGUACCGGAAGG
Molecule: ribosomal RNA, 1477 nt
Filed under: uncultured bacterium
Lineage: Bacteria
Description: 16S ribosomal RNA
Rfam family: Bacterial small subunit ribosomal RNA
Source: RNAcentral